CCAAUAGCGUAUAUUAAAGUUGUUGCAGUUAAAAAGCUCGUAGUUGAAUUUCGGGGUUAGUAAGUUGGUCGUGCCACUGGUAUGUACUGGCUUUACUGAUUCCUCCUUCUUGUAGAACCGUAAUGCCAUUAAGUUGGUGUUGCGGGGAAACAGGACUGUUACUUUGAAAAAAUUAGAGUGUUUAAAGCAGGCUAACGCUUGAAUACAUUAGCAUGGAAUAAUGAAAUAGGACGCUCGAUCCUAUUUUGUUGGUUUCUAGGAUUGACGUAAUGAUUAAUAGGGAUAGUUGGGGGCAUUAGUAUUCAAUUGUCAGAGGUGAAAUUCUUGGAUUUAUUGAAGACUAACUACUGCGAAAGCAUUUGCCAAGGAUGUUUUCAUUAAUCAAGAACGAAAGUUAGGGGAUCGAAGACGAUCAGAUACCGUCGUAGUCUUAACCAUAAACUAUGCCGACUAGGGAUCGGAUGAUGUUAAUUUUUUAAUGACUCAUUCGGCGCCCUACG
RNAcentral lists this ribosomal RNA (500 nucleotides) under uncultured Glomeromycotina. RNAcentral's name for it is "partial small subunit ribosomal RNA". It matches the Rfam family "Eukaryotic small subunit ribosomal RNA", at positions 591 to 1092 of the family's 1831-position model. The record is from RNAcentral. Lineage: Eukaryota; Fungi; Glomeromycota.